This 163-nucleotide ribosomal RNA is filed under the name Berylsimpsonia vanillosma. RNAcentral describes it as "5.8S ribosomal RNA". It matches the Rfam family "5.8S ribosomal RNA". Rfam says of the family: 5.8S ribosomal RNA (5.8S rRNA) is a component of the large subunit of the eukaryotic ribosome. It is transcribed by RNA polymerase I as part of the 45S precursor that also contains 18S and 28S rRNA. Lineage: Eukaryota; Viridiplantae; Streptophyta; Magnoliopsida; Asterales; Asteraceae. The record is from RNAcentral.
AAACGACUCUCGGCAACGGAUAUCUCGGCUCAUGCAUCGAUGAAGAACGUAGCAAAAUGCGAUACUUGGUGUGAAUUGCAGAAUCCCGUGAACCAUCGAGUUUUUGAACGCAAGUUGCGCCCGAAGCCAUCCGGUCGAGGGCACGUCUGCCUGGGUGUCACGC